Molecule: ribosomal RNA, 1188 nt
Filed under: Bacillus sp. (in: firmicutes)
Lineage: Bacteria; Bacillati; Bacillota; Bacilli; Caryophanales; Bacillaceae
Description: bacterial SSU rRNA
Rfam family: Bacterial small subunit ribosomal RNA
Source: RNAcentral
GGGCGGUUAUUUUACUGGGUCAUGUGAGUGCGAGCGAUGGAUUAAGAGCUUGCUCAAAAGAAGUUAGCGGCGGACGGGUGAGUAACACGUGGGUAACCUGCCCAUAAGACUGGGAUAACUCCGGGAAACCGGGGCUAAUACCGGAUAACAUUUUGAACUGCAUGGUUCGAAAUUGAAAGGCGGCUUCGGCUGUCACUUAUGGAUGGACCCGCGUCGCAUUAGCUAGUUGGUGAGGUAACGGCUCACCAAGGCAACGAUGCGUAGCCGACCUGAGAGGGUGAUCGGCCACACUGGGACUGAGACACGGCCCAGACUCCUACGGGAGGCAGCAGUAGGGAAUCUUCCGCAAUGGACGAAAGUCUGACGGAGCAACGCCGCGUGAGUGAUGAAGGCUUUCGGGUCGUAAAACUCUGUUGUUAGGGAAGAACAAGUGCUAGUUGAAUAAGCUGGCACCUUGACGGUACCUAACCAGAAAGCCACGGCUAACUACUUGCCAGCAGCCGCGGUAAUACGUAUGUGGCAAGCGUUAUCCGGAAUUAUUGGGCGUAAAGCGCGCGCACGUGGUUUCUUAAGUCUGAUGUGAAAGCCCACGGCUCAACCGUGGAGGGUCAUUGGAAACUGGGAGACUUGAGUGCAGAAGAGGAAAGUGGAAUUCCAUGUGUAGCGGUGAAAUGCGUAGAGAUAUGGAGGAACACCAGUGGCGAAGGCGACUUUCUGGUCUGUAACUGACACUGAGGCGCGAAGCGUGGGGAGCAAACAGGAUUAGAUACCCUGGUAAUCCACGCCGUAAACGAUGAGUGCUAAGUGAUUAGAGGGUUUCCCGCCCUUUAGUGCUGAAGUUAACGCAUUAAGCCACUCCCGCCUGGGGGAGUACCGGCCGCCUAUGCCUGAAACUUCUAAGGAAAUUGACCGGGGGCCCCGCACUAGGCGGCUGGAAGCAUGGUGGUUUAAUUUCUGAACGCACCGCGAUAGUACCCUUUACCAGGUCGUGACAUCCUCUGAAAACCCUAAAGAUAUAGGCUUCCUCCUUACGGACCAGAGUGAACAGGUGGUGCCAUGUUGUCGUCAGCUCGUGACUUGAGACGUUCGGAUAAGUCCGACACAAGCGCAACCUGAAUCUGAAUAGCCAUCAAUAGUUGGACACUUCAAGGUACUGCGUACAUCGAGAAGUGGAGUACUCAGUAUACU